AACUCUUAGCGGUGGAUCACUCGGCUCAUGCAUCGAUGAAGAACGCAGCUAGCUGCGAGAACUAAUGUGAAUUGCAGGACACAUUGAUCAUCGAUACUUAGAACGCACCUUGCGGCCCUGGGUUCCUCCCGGGGCUACGCCUGUCUGAGGGUCG
This 154-nucleotide ribosomal RNA is filed under the name Sander lucioperca (pikeperch). RNAcentral describes it as "5.8S ribosomal RNA (ENSSLUG00000015957.1)". It matches the Rfam family "5.8S ribosomal RNA". Rfam says of the family: 5.8S ribosomal RNA (5.8S rRNA) is a component of the large subunit of the eukaryotic ribosome. Lineage: Eukaryota; Metazoa; Chordata; Actinopteri; Perciformes; Percidae. The record is from Rfam by way of RNAcentral.